RNAcentral lists this ribosomal RNA (335 nucleotides) under Escherichia coli. Its description in RNAcentral is "bacterial SSU rRNA". It matches the Rfam family "Bacterial small subunit ribosomal RNA", at positions 1 to 332 of the family's 1533-position model. RNAcentral also lists the same sequence under 1 other name. The record is from RNAcentral. Lineage: Bacteria; Pseudomonadati; Pseudomonadota; Gammaproteobacteria; Enterobacterales; Enterobacteriaceae.
AAAUUGAAGAGUUUGAUCAUGGCUCAGAUUGAACGCUGGCGGCAGGCCUAACACAUGCAAGUCGAACGGUAACAGGAAGCAGCUUGCUGCUUCGCUGACGAGUGGCGGACGGGUGAGUAAUGUCUGGGAAACUGCCUGAUGGAGGGGGAUAACUACUGGAAACGGUAGCUAAUACCGCAUAAUGUCGCAAGACCAAAGAGGGGGACCUUCGGGCCUCUUGCCAUCGGAUGUGCCCAGAUGGGAUUAGCUUGUUGGUGGGGUAACGGCUCACCAAGGCGACGAUCCCUAGCUGGUCUGAGAGGAUGACCAGCCACACUGGAACUGAGACACGGUCC